GAUGAACGCUGGCGGCGUGCCUAAUACAUGCAAGUCGAGCGAACAGACGAGGAGCUUGCUCCUCUGACGUUAGCGGCGGACGGGUGAGUAACACGUGGAUAACCUACCUAUAAGACUGGGAUAACUUCGGGAAACCGGAGCUAAUACCGGAUAAUAUAUUGAACCGCAUGGUUCAAUAGUGAAAGACGGUUUUGCCGUCACUUAUAGAUGGAUCCGCGCCGCAUUAGCUAGUUGGUAAGGUAACGGCUUACCAAGGCGACGAUGCGUAGCCGACCUGAGAGGGUGAUCGGCCACACGGGAACUGAGACACGGUCCAGACUCCUACGGGAGGCAGCAGUAGGGAAUCUUCCGCAAUGGGCGAAAGCCUGACGGAGCAACGCCGCGUGAGUGAUGAAGGUCUUCGGAUCGUAAAACUCUGUUAUUAGGGAAGAACAAAUGUGUAAGUAACUAUGCACGUCUUGACGGUACCUAAUCAGAAAGCCACGGCUAACUACGUG
This 497-nucleotide ribosomal RNA is filed under the name uncultured bacterium. Its description in RNAcentral is "partial 16S ribosomal RNA". It matches the Rfam family "Bacterial small subunit ribosomal RNA", at positions 28 to 507 of the family's 1533-position model. The record is from RNAcentral.